Molecule: ribosomal RNA, 253 nt
Filed under: uncultured prokaryote
Description: partial 16S ribosomal RNA
Rfam family: Bacterial small subunit ribosomal RNA
Source: RNAcentral
GCGUAGGGUGCAGGCGUUAAUCGGAAUUACUGGGCGUAAAGCGUGCGCAGGCGGCUUCCUAAGUCAGAUGUGAAAUCCCCGGGCUCAACCUGGGAACUGCGUUUGAAACUGGGAGGCUAGAGUGCGGCAGAGGGGGGUGGAAUUCCACGUGUAGCAGUGAAAUGCGUAGAUAUGUGGAGGAACACCGAUGGCGAAGGCAGCCCCCUGGGCCAGCACUGACGCUCAUGCACGAAAGCGUGGGGAGCAAACAGGA